CCCUUAGAUGUUCUGGGCCGCACGCGCGCUACACUGUUCGACGCAGCGAGUCUUAACCUUGACCGAAAGGUUUGGGUAAUCUUCAGCAAAGUCGAACGUGAUGGGGAUCGAUCAUUGCAAUUAUUGAUCGUGAACGAGGAAUUCCUAGUAAGUGCAAGUCAUCAGCUUGCGCUGAUUACGUCCCUGCCCUUUGUACACACCGCCCGUCGCUACUACCGAUUGAAUGGUUUAGUGAGAUCUCCGGAUUGACGCUGGCUAGGGGGCGACCCUUGGCCAGACUGUUGGGAAACUGCUCAAACUUGAUCAUUUAGAGGAAGUAAAAGUCGUAACA
RNAcentral lists this ribosomal RNA (331 nucleotides) under uncultured eukaryote. RNAcentral describes it as "partial 18S ribosomal RNA". It matches the Rfam family "Eukaryotic small subunit ribosomal RNA", at positions 1470 to 1796 of the family's 1831-position model. The record is from RNAcentral.